UUGCAUAGUAAAAAUCUAACUUACUUUUAAUCUGAAUUGAUUCAACAUUCUCACGUAAUUCGAAUUCUUGGAUGCCAUUGAAGAAGAUGAAGAAGAAGAAAAAAAAAAUGUCAUUGAUGAGUUCUUGGAUGUCAUUGAAGAAGAAGAAUAAGAAGAAGAAGAAUUGAAGAAAAAGAAAGAAAAAUAAUAAUUAUAAUAGAAGAAGAAGAAGCUGAAGAAAAAAUGUCAUUGAUGAGUUGUUAGAUGCCAUCGAAGAAGAGAGUGUGUUUCGCUCUCUUGCCAUGUCAGUGUUGGGGGUAAUAAUUCUAUUUUAAAAUAAUUCAGGGGAUUAUAGGACCCUUACAAAGAAUAAAUAUGUAGUUGACAUUUGAAGUAAAUAUUGUGGGGCUUUUGAUUAUUUUCUCUUUUUUUAAAAAUAUUUUAAUUAUAAAUGUAAUAUUUUAUUAAAAAAUUAACUUGAUUGAUGAUAUUUUAGAAUUUCAAAUCUGGGUAUUAUCAAUAUAUUCAUUUAAUACUUAAGGGUAAAAAAAAUAUAAUAUUUUUUUUUAAUUUUAUAAAUUAGAUAAUUCAUGGGCUAAGUAAAUGAAAGGGAGGGAAUAAUAUAUACAAAACUUAUAUUAGUAUAUGUUGUCCGAUUUUCAAACUUUUUGAAAGGAAACGAAUGAAGAAGAAAUUAAGGAGAUUCGACGUACAUUAUUCAUGCAAAAAUAUAAAUUUAGGCCUAGCUAUUUUUAUCUCUCCAAAUACAAUUGUCAAGAUUAAUGCUCGGCCGACCAUGAGUAUUUCUUAUUUUUUUCAUGAGUUGAAUUUGAAAUCAUGUUUGUCAAUAAAAAUAAAUUGAAAAAUAAAACUUCAACUUUAAGUUCAAUUUCUAAAUUUUUCGAAAUUUGCAAAAAAGAUGUUUUUACUUCAAAACUUUCUAAUCUUUUUAAAAAUAUAAAGGAACUCACACCCUUCUCCUUUUCAAAUCAACCGUGUCUCUCCUCUCUCUCGACAGUCUCUCACAACUCUCUCCCAACCAAUAGUUUUACAAAAUUUCUAUCUUCAAUCCACGACGACUUCAAGCUCCGACGACAAAUAGCUGGGUGAGUUCCUUUUCGACUUUCAACCGUCAAUCAACGUGACAAGCAGCGUUCUCCGGCAACAACAACUUCGAGUUCUUCGUCGUCCCAUUUCUUCUUUCACAAAUAAAAAAUUAUGUUUUUUUAGUUAUGAAGAAAAAGAGGAACUUGAGCCACUUUCUUCUAGUAUUGGUUAACAAUUUCAAUAUUUCUGGGAGAAAAUACUCAAUUACCCUUCUGAACUAUACUCAAAAGGGCUAUG
This 1323-nucleotide long non-coding RNA is filed under the name Capsicum annuum. RNAcentral's name for it is "long non-coding RNA (CANN_LNC019753)". The record is from RNAcentral. Lineage: Eukaryota; Viridiplantae; Streptophyta; Magnoliopsida; Solanales; Solanaceae.